RNAcentral lists this ribosomal RNA (465 nucleotides) under uncultured bacterium. RNAcentral describes it as "partial 16S ribosomal RNA". It matches the Rfam family "Bacterial small subunit ribosomal RNA", at positions 28 to 507 of the family's 1533-position model. The record is from RNAcentral.
GACGAACGCUGGCGGCGUGCUUAACACAUGCAAGUCGUACGGUAAGGCCCUUUCGGGGGUACACGAGUGGCGAACGGGUGCGUAACACGUGCGUAACCUGCCCACAACUUUGGGAUAACGCUAGGAAACUGGUGCUAAUACUGGAUAUGUGCUCCUGCUUCAUGGUGGGGGUUGGAAAGCUCCGGCGGUUGUGGAUGGACUCGCGGCGUAUCAGCUUGUUGGUGGGGUAGUGGCCUACCAAGGCGGCGACGGGUAGCCGGCCUGUGAGGGUGACCGGCCACAUUGGGACUGAGAUACGGCCCAGACUGCUACGGGAGGCAGCAGUGGGGAAUAUUGCACAAUGGGCGCAAGCCGGAUGCAGCAACGCCGCGUGCGGGAUGACGGCCUUCGGGUUGUAAACCGCUUUCAGCAGGGACGAAGCUUUUUGUGACGGUACCUGCAGAAGAAGCACCGGCUAACUACGUG